Molecule: long non-coding RNA, 4900 nt
Filed under: Rhipicephalus sanguineus (brown dog tick)
Lineage: Eukaryota; Metazoa; Arthropoda; Arachnida; Ixodida; Ixodidae
Description: uncharacterized LOC119393588
Source: RNAcentral
UGCCUCAUGAAGGUAUCUGUUCUGGCCAUUUAUCAACUGUUCUUUCUUGCCUUCUUUCAGGUCGGCAUAAGUUUUCACCAGAUGGAGAAAGUGACGUGGGCAGCACAAACUCACAAGGCACGCCCCUCUCCAAGAAGCAGCCGGGAGGGGGAGGAAGUCACGUGGCCAUCCCGCCAGACGCCCUGUACACGCCAACAUCAAAAUCGAACGGCUCUUCGAAGGACUCAACCCAGUACGAAAACGGCAAGAAUGGAUCGCAGAACGGUCGACCUGAGCCCCCGCCACGGGCAUCCGACGGGAGCAUCGUGUACGCCAGCCUGGACCUGCCGGCUGCUCCCGCGCAGAACGGCAACAGGCCGGCGCCGGAACGCACCGAGUACGCCGAGUUGCAGUUCCAGGCCAACGGAGCACAGCAGCCCACAUCCGAACACGCGUCCCUCUGAGCCGCCAUUGGACUCAAAGUCCAUCCAGAGCAGCGCGUAUUCAAAGACUGACGGACCGAGCGACGUGCGAAUGCUUCGUACAGGGUGCUACAUGGGAUAGACCACGACCUCCUAUAUUUGUCAGUGCCUCUCCAGGCACCCCGCAAUGCACAAGAGAGCUGUGGUCCACUGCGGCGGCAUCACAUUUCCAGUCAUUUUUAUACCUGUUGUUGCUGUCCGCUGCUGCAGCUUCGUUACUAUUCUUUACCGUGCUUUCUGCACUGCACGGGAUCACGUGGGAUGAAAAAUAAUCAGCGUGAGUCUAUUAUAGCUAUGUUCUCGUAAAUUGCCUGCCUGUAAAUCACGACCAACCACUGCGAAUGUGACGCCCUCUCAGUGACCACCGGUUUUGUUGUCACUGGGUUGGGUAUCGAGGGAGGCUAUGGUUACACCAACGUUACUAGAUUAACCUAGGCUAGUAACGUUGGGUUAUACCUACUGAAAUAUACCAACGGCAGCUUUCUGCGUAUUCGUACUUAAUGAAAAGAAGCUAGUGUCACUUUUCUAACCGCUAGAGCCAGCCAUUUAUCGUGCUACACAUUAGAUAGGAGGACUUACGGAAAGUAAUGUUUCUUUUGGCGUUCCCUGUUGUCGAAUGAAACAUUAGGCAGCGAAGUGUUUCUGGGACAAGAAGAUAAAUGGGCAACAAUUGGUUGAAAGUGUUUAGUUAUUACAGUUAACGAAGCGCAUCGAAGUACCUCUGAAGUUGCACACAGGCGAUACCCUAGAUAACGACGAAGAAGUAUGCAGCAUUUUAACAUAUUUAGAGGAACGUUAUCAUUGACGUCAGCUGAUUUUUCGGCUGAAUGGAAGCUGUCGUCGGCACAACUAUCAUAGUGACUCCAUGUGGCCGCGGCAUAUAAUGUAAACAGGAAAAUUUGUUGAAGGUGGUUUUGCAGUCGACGCAUCUAAGACUUCCCGAAAAACUGUAUUGGUUGUAGCCCUCAGAACUAGAACAUAGCGUCCAUUUUUUUCAUCGCUUGCGAUAACACGCUCGGCUAGUCGGAAGUUGAAAAUCGAUGCUAUAGUUCUUUUUCGAUGAUGGCAGUAGCAUUACUGCUGCCGAUGCUGCUGUCAUGUAAUGUGAACCCUUACAGAAUUGUUCCGUUUCCCUUGCAAUUGUCCGUGCUUCGCAACAAGAGCUCCAGCUGCGUUGCCUGCUGCAGAAGACCCCCAGUGUAUUAUUUUUGUUUUGCUUGAAACAGGGACUUUGUGACCUAAUUGAUGUAACGCAGCAUUUACUUAAAACAUUGCCGUGUCAUAAGGCUCGUGAAAAGCUAACCUUUAGUAACUGAGAGGAUUGGUUGUUUUUUUUUUCUCAAAGGGAAAGGGUUCCACUGGUUCGUCGGUCAUGGUAGUGCUUGGUAGCUCUAGGGCCCUUUAUAUCAGGGAUUCCCUGCUAGAACAUUCGAGACCGUUACUUUGACUUUGAUCGCACGUACUCUUCGAACGAGGCGCCAUUUCCAGGCGUAGCUUCGCUUCUCACUCUCACAAGUUGCCCUUAUUGAGCUUUUGAUAAGGCGUAUCGAUUGGGGAUCUACUGAUAAGGUUGAUCGUAUAUUGCGUGUUGCACGCAUCCCCUCAGCGGUCUUCAACAAGUUCAGCAGCGUUGCACAAGCUACGUCGGCUAGUGAGUUACUCGGAGAUGGUGCACCGAGUUCCAGAAGAAGCUUGCACUGCCUAGCUCACACCUGUGCAAAAGGAGACGACGAUGCAUCCCCGUUUGCGACGUGUUUUACGUUCAGAGCCAUAUGCUGUGUGCUUAUGCUAGUGUGUCGUGUGAAUAUUGUAUGCUUUGUGUUUGAGUGUGUGUUUGUGUGUGUGUUGUGCGCUACGUUUAAAGGCCUCAACGCAGCCUUAGGCAAGGUGCCUGCGUUCGUACCGAGGAGAUGUAAUGAAACUGACCUUUAACCAACGUUGUAAGUGUAAAUAGCGACAGCCAUUUUCUACUCUUGUUUUGAUGGACAAACUUCGUGCCGUCCGAUGAAAUAGCAGAAUACAUCGUAUAGGAAAGAAAUUUAUCACUGAGAGCUUGUAUUACUGCAGUUUUUAAAAGGGCGCCCUUAUACGCGAGUAUUCUGUGAAUCUUUCUCUUUCAGGAAGAGUAUUACAGGUGUGAAGUACGACUCCCUUGUUCCCCUACUUUGAGUAUUGCGUGGUAGAAAUAAACUCGCUACUUUCUGAUACAACAUUAAGUAUGACGAAGUCCAGCCUUUCAGUGUGAACUCACUUGCCACGUGACCAGCACAGGCAGGUCUCUCCAUUGGUUGCAUGCGCAAUGCUAAAUAAUGUUAAUUGAUAUGCAAGUACACUUACCUUGUAUAUAACCCCCGAACUCCGCCUCCCCCUUGCCCUAGAAAAUUUCAAGUACUUAGUACAUUAGCCUAUCGCGGUGUGAAAAUAUAAAAGAUUGAAGCGGUUUCCUUUCAUCUUUUCGAAUGUCAACAGAAUCCGAGAAAGUACGCAGCAAUGUAAGGAGCUUGCCAUGCAGAAUAUGUUAUCAUAAUAAUAAAUAGAUAUUGCGCUUGCCUGAAAACAUUAAGUGCCCAAGAUGAUAUUUAAAACAACCCUCAAGACUAAGAAAAAACUUCUCCUCCUCGGUUCUCAACACAUAUACAAAGUUCAUUGUACAUACACUGUAGUGAACGAGGUAUAUCUUUAAGUGAGUAGACCAGAUGUUUCGCACAAAGGAUUUUUUGAAAAUAGCUUUUCUUUAAUAUUCUUAUUCAGCGCAUUGUCAUCUAUUAUGUCUAGUAGUCUGUAUGUAUGCAUGUACAUGUACUCAUGAGAUGAAUGAAGAGUAGAUUAUGAAAUGAGCCGUUGUAGUCAUUGUGGCACUGAAUAUACACAGCCUUUUUCGUUUUGAUAUUGUCGGAAGUGUUAUUUGCGUUGUACUUGAAACAAGAUAUGCGCAUGCUCUGGUGGUGAAUGCCAAAUGCUCCAAUGUGUCUUUUGCAAUGUAAGUUGUGAAUAUAUAAGUAGGCUUUAGUGCCGCUGAAAAGUCGGGGUCACGGGAAAUGUGUUGCCCUUGGAAAAACUUUUUGUCGCAUACCCUCUCCAUAAUUAUUGCGAGAAAUACUCUUAAAAAGGGAAAUGAAUUCGAACUUUCUUAUCUUGUUUGUAAAUUAUUGGUACGGCUUUUCCCAAUACAAGCUAGGACAUUCUGUUUGUCUUAUUACUAACGGGAAAAUGGCGCUACACUCUAUCAUCAACUUUGUUUUGUUUGCUGAUCUGAAUUGACUAAAGUUCCACAAUAAGCGUUUUCCGAAAACGCUUCAUCUGUGAUUACAUUAUUCUGUCACAGAGAUGUAGUUAAACUUUUUCUGUGUGAUUUUCUCGCAGGCGUUAAGAUGAUCUGUUGCAUUGGUGACACUAACAAACUUUCUGAUCAUCUGGCUAUUUUUCGUCUUGAAAAACAUAAACUGAGGACACAAUUUUUGUCAUUGCUAAUCUCCUUGUAAUCACCUUUUGAAAAUAUGGUUUGUUUAGUUGCGUUAAACAAAUGCAACAUUUUUUGCUGGCAAAUAUUGUCAUAUAUUUAUUACGACUCUUUCAACUCUUCUCAUUGAUAGGCCAUCAUUUAUUAUCAAUUCCGCGAGUACUGAUGAAAAAGAUAACAGAACCGAAAUGCACCACAGACACAUCCUUUUCGUGGCUUGAUAAAUUUUUACCUCUGGUGGCGGCUCAAAAGAAAUAAGAAAAUGAAGUACAAUAUUUAUCAUUCCAUUUUACGACGUGUUUGCGUCUUUUUUUAACUAUGCUGCUUAACUAUCGACUAGCACUUAGUCAGUUUUGUUAGUUGACACGUAAUCUUUAAUUUGCCAGCUCAUUUACCACGCUAAACUUUCACGCUGCUUGAUGCAGCCCGUGCUACUUCAGUCAUGUAUAAUCAUCAUUGUUCACAUGAGCGCUACGUUGAUGCACAGUUACCGCAAUUAUUUUUCUAUGACGUUUUAUUGCCGAAUUUGUACUUGUAUGUAGCGCGAUCAAACUUACGUUUGUACAUUUGCUACAUCACUUGUGGGACAAUAGCAGCCUCAACAAAAUGAGCCUGAUAUGUUUCUUUACAUAGUAAAAAAAAAACAAAAAAAAAGAUAAAUCGUGUUAUAUUCCCUCCCUUUUCUUACACCAUGUGCAAAGUAUUCCAGAUGACGUUUGCUUUGACAGUAAAUAGCGAUUAAGUGUGGAAGUGCUUCUUGCGUAUCUCAUGCAUAUGUCCUGUCCAGCUUUUCUAUUUGCUUUGAGAGCAUCCCGUUUGCGGGUCAGUACUUCAAUAAAGUUUGCACCCGUCCGUGUUUAUAGGUGUUCUGCAGGGCGACUGCAAGAACUUAUUUGUGUAGCUACAAGAAUUGCUCUUCAUGAAGCGUUCGAGAUCUCUCGGCUGUAAGUUGUGCUAAUAAAGUAUAUUUUUUCGUGUA